AGGAAUUUAGGUUAACAUAGACCAAGAGCCUUCAAAGCUCUAAGCAAAUAAACAAUUAUUUAAUUCCUG
RNAcentral lists this transfer RNA (69 nucleotides) under Pteronotus rubiginosus. RNAcentral's name for it is "transfer RNA-Trp". Lineage: Eukaryota; Metazoa; Chordata; Mammalia; Chiroptera; Mormoopidae. The record is from RNAcentral.